GUCUGUUAAAAAUAAAGAUGAAUUAGACUCACCUUAGACAGAUUGACUCAAAAUCUCUGGAGGGAACCCAGGAACCUUCAUUCUAACAAGAACCCCCAGGUGGUUCUUAGCACUUCAAAGUUGGGGAGCCUCUGCUUCCAUCGGAAAGCAUCAAGCAACAAUGGCCAUAAUAGAAAUGCUACUAUCAAUGGGACAGAAAAGAUACCUGGGAAAGAUUGCUCCUGUUGGCUGUGACAGCUUCUCUGACUUUGUUUGUGAUGACUUCGAGAGUCUUAAGGAGAAAUCAUCGGCUAUUUUGUAGAAUGGCCCUCAAGUGUGGUUUUGGCAGGUGAUUUUCUCAUGAUUGGACUGGGGUUGUGGGUUUUUGGAAGGAAGAAUACAGACAUAGUCAUUUCCAUAACAUCCAUUCACUUCAAAGCAAUCCUACGUUUGGGCAGUGCUCAGCAAGGAUGGUUAUUGCUGCUGCACAUGGCAUCAGCUGGAGAAGCUUGAUGCCAGGGUUGGAGAAUCUGCUUUAAAGAUAGCUCUUUUACACAACUGGUGUCAUUCAGGAGCUCUCUUCAUGCCCACAAUAUUCCCCCUUCUAAUUGAAUUCUCAAAGUAGAAUCAGAUCAAUACAGAACCCUGAAGGUAUCGUGAUUGAGAAGGCUCUCAGCUGCACCUGCUACUGGAAUUAUACCUGUGAUCAGAAGCUCCUGUUUUUAUUUCGACAAAGAAAUGGAAUUCAUAAAAUAGAGUAACAGACUGCCCCAUAAAGGAGAGUAUGGUGGUGAACUCUCAAGAACUAUUGCAAUUAUUUCCUAGAAGGAAGGAGAUACAGAAAUAUAAGAAACGAAUGCAAAGAAGGCAAGGAGAGCAAAAAAGAACAGGAGGAAGGAAGAGUGAAAGGAUGAAGAAGAGAGAAGAAUAUAGUGUUCAUUGAGUAUCUGCUCAAAUUAAGGAUAAAGCCACAUGUUUUCGUAAAUUUUCUCUAAUAUCCAUAGCAAUCUAGUAUCCAUAGCCAAACAAAUAAGUGACUUCCACUUAACAAAGGAACUGAAGCCCAAAAAAGUUAAUAUGGACGAGUCACACAGCAACUGGGAUUGAAGCUGAAUAAAUCUAGCUCCAAGGCAUUCUCUUGUAGGCUGCUCUUCUCAUGUCUGCUAGGAUUACAUGGGUCAAGCACAACCCUGUCAGGUUUCAGUGAUCAGAAGGACAGAACCUUGCUGUUAGACAGAAACUAGGGUCUCUAUACUGGGCCAACUCCUUGUUCUCAAACUCAGGAGCUGGAAUUGCCAGACCUUGGAACCAGCUGACUGGAGACUGUGUCCCCAUUAAAGGAAAUGUCCAGGAUUUCAUUUCAUGUUAUGUCCCCCCCCACCGCCCCACCUCUUCCUCCUUAGUGCUUUCUUUCUCUCUGAUAUCAGCUCUGCUACAGUUUGAGGCAAGGGUUGGGACUAGAAUUGUAGUUUUUUGAAUCUCAGUGUGGUUGCUUUUGGUACUUGUUGAGGCCUCCAUGUAGUCAAAUUCAUUAUCGUAUAUAAAGUUACAAUUAAGAGUUGGAAAUAAUAUAUGAAGAUCAGAUGGAGGAUGUGAGGCUACAAAUCCCUGACAUCUACCUCUACAUAGCUAAUCUGUGAAAUGGGAUUAUCAUGGUAUGAUGUGUCCAGAGCGGUCCUCAUUAUGUCAUCCUUUCAGUCUAUUAGUAAGAUGUUUUGAAGGCAUUACUAGAAAGCAUUCAGUAGAUAUAAACUAUAUGACCCUAGAAAGGAAUUCACAUGCCUGGUACAUUGAACAAUCAUCACUGAGGUUGCUCAAUAGGGCUGAUAAGGACUCCAGGGAAAUAAGCUAGCAUAGGUGUAGGGGUAAGGGAACUGAAGUCAGUGUGCUUGACUCUAUGUUCCAGCUUUGACUAAAUUUCCUGGUUCUUCAUUUUCUCAGUUUUAAAACAAAUGAAGAUGAUAAAAAAGAGCUUUCUUAUGGCCAUUCUCUGCCUAAUACUUCAUGUCCCAUAACAGCAGCUCUGAGCAAGUAUCUAGCUCCCUUAGAGUUUUUUGAUGGCCUCCUUUGAUGCUCCCUGCUAUUCUUGGGAUAAACCCUAAAGUCUUGAGGUGAUCUGUGGGGUUCCUUCUUCUCUGUGCCCUAGCUAUCUUUGAGCCUCAGUUUUUAUUUGCUUCCCCCUUCUACCCUCAGGUUUGUCAUGCUGCCUUAUGGGCAGGGCCCCUGUGCCUGAAUCCCCACCUCACCUACCUCUUCCUGCUUAGUGCUUUCUUUCUCUCUGAUAUCAGGUCUGCUACACUUUUCUAAGGAAAGCAGUUCUGACCCUUUUAUGCAUGUCAAUUCUCCUUCUGUUAUAUGUCUUAUUUACCACAUAACUCUUGGAAUCAUUUUAUUAUGUUGCUGUUGAUUUGUGAGUUACCUUUUUUUUUUUAAA
This 2413-nucleotide long non-coding RNA is filed under the name Homo sapiens (human). RNAcentral describes it as "HSALNT0387166". The record is from RNAcentral. Lineage: Eukaryota; Metazoa; Chordata; Mammalia; Primates; Hominidae.